This 493-nucleotide ribosomal RNA is filed under the name uncultured bacterium. Its description in RNAcentral is "partial 16S ribosomal RNA". It matches the Rfam family "Bacterial small subunit ribosomal RNA", at positions 30 to 523 of the family's 1533-position model. The record is from RNAcentral.
AUUGAACGCUGGCGGAAUGCUUUACACAUGCAAGUCGAGCGGGAUUAGCAGCAAUGCUAUGAGAGCGGCGCACGGGUGCGUAACGCGUAUGCAACCUGCCUUAUACAGGGGAAUAGCCCAUGGAAACGUGGAUUAACGUCCCAUAGGAUCACGAUAUCGCAUGGUAUUGUGAUUAAAACUGAGGUGGUAUAAGAUGGGCAUGCGUCUGAUUAGGUAGUUGGUGAGGUAAUGGCUCACCAAGCCGACGAUCAGUAGGGGUUCUGAGAGGAUUACCCCCCACACUGGUACUGAGACACGGACCAGACUCCUACGGGAGGCAGCAGUGAGGAAUAUUGGUCAAUGCCGGAAGGCUGAACCAGCCAUCCCGCGUGCAGGAUGACGGCCCUAUGGGUUGUAAACUGCUUUUGUACCUGAAGAAACCUGGUUACAUGUAACCAGUUGCCGGUGAGGUAUGAAUAAGCAUCGGCUAACUCCGUGCCAGCCGCCGCGGUAA